UUGUAAGAUCUUCACCGUCGAGGCAUCUUGCAUUUAAGAAGUGUGCUGAAAAGUUGCAUAUAGAGUGUAAGAAAUCAUUGUGUUUAGAUGUUGCAACUCGAUGGAAUUCAACUUAUCUUAUGUUAGAAGCUGCUGAAAAGUUUGAAAAGGUGUUUGUGAGGUUAGGUGAAAAAGAACGUAGGUAUAUGAGUUACUUUUUGGAGGUUGAUUCAAAGGGGAAUAAAAAAAACAUAGGGCCACCUAGUUUGGGUGAUUGGGAAAAUACAAGAACUUUGGUUAAGUUCUUAAAGAUUUUUUAUAUGGUUACAUUGAGAUUUUCUAGCUCAUUGCAUAUCACAUCAAAUUCUUUCUUCAAUGAAUUGAUUUACAUGCAUACAAACUUGUUGCAAUUGUGUAAAAAUAAAGAUAGUAUUUUAAGUGGAAUGACGAUGAAUAUGAUGUUAAAGUUUGAGAAGUAUUGGGGGUGUGAAGUAAAUCAGAAUUUUUUGUUAUAUGUGGCUAAUGUCUUAGAUCCACGUUUGAAGUUGAAAUAUGUGAAAUUUUGUUUUGGUGAUUUGUAUGAUUAUGACAAAGCACAAUUGCUAACAAAUAAGGUGAAAGAUACUUUGGUGAGUUUGUAUGAGUUUUAUUUGAAAAUUGAUGAAGUGGUGGAUAAUAAUAGGCAUAAAUAGGAUGUUAAUGCUAUUGAUGAUGUGGAGGUAGAUGUUAACACUUUGGCUCGAUUCAAAAGAUAUUUGCUGGAGGUGGAUAGUGUGGAAAAUAAAAAUGAGGUUGAGAGGUAUUUGAUUGAAGGUUGUGAGGAUCCUAAUGAUGAUAAGUUAAAUAUUUUGGGUUUGUGGAAAAGUAAUGCUUUGAAAUAUAAGACACUUUCAAAGGUUGCACAACAUGUUCUGGCUAUUCCUAUAUCUAUAGUGGCUUCUGAAUCAGCAUUUAGCACAGGUGGUCGUGUACUUGAUCAAUUUCAAAGUUCUCUAUCUCCAGCAACUGUUCAAGCACUCAUUUGUUGUCAAAAUUGGUUGCAUCAUGGAUCAAAUCUAAUUGAUAUUAGAAGCUUGAUAAAUGAUCUUGAAACCUACGAAAACCUUGAGUCAGAAUUUGGUGGAAAGUUACAUUUAGUAACAGAUGAUAAUUAGUUCAAAAGUUACUUUGAUGGUUUUGAUGUCAAUGAUAUUAUGGAAUCAAAGUGCAAUGUUCUUGUCAUCUUGAUGUGCUUUUUGAUUGAGAUGAUGUAUACAAUGAAGAUUUAUAUUUUUUGCAUGAAGUAUUUUAUU
This is a long non-coding RNA of Populus euphratica (Euphrates poplar), 1271 nucleotides long. RefSeq lists it as uncharacterized. The record is from RefSeq and is a predicted model, not a curated record. Lineage: Eukaryota; Viridiplantae; Streptophyta; Magnoliopsida; Malpighiales; Salicaceae. The transcript is spliced from 3 exons.